RNAcentral lists this ribosomal RNA (190 nucleotides) under uncultured Glomus. RNAcentral describes it as "partial 18S ribosomal RNA". It matches the Rfam family "Eukaryotic small subunit ribosomal RNA", at positions 569 to 766 of the family's 1831-position model. Lineage: Eukaryota; Fungi; Glomeromycota; Glomeromycetes; Glomerales; Glomeraceae. The record is from RNAcentral.
AGCAGCCGCGGUAAUUCCAGCUCCAAUAGCGUAUAUUAAAGUUGUUGCAGUUAAAAAGCUCGUAGUCGGACCCAAGACAAUAGUACCAUUGGUCGACCGUCAGGUUGUACUGAUGUCGUUGAGUCUCAUGAAUCGGGGAGGUGGAUGGUCGAAAGGGCAUUCAAGGAACCGAGAUUUACUGUGAAGAAAU